Molecule: unclassified non-coding RNA, 151 nt
Filed under: uncultured Mortierella
Lineage: Eukaryota; Fungi; Mortierellomycota; Mortierellomycetes; Mortierellales; Mortierellaceae
Description: sequence contains ITS1
Source: RNAcentral
CAAUAAGUGUUCAAUGGCACUUUAAAAUCCAUUACCCACCUUGUGUGCAAUGUAAGGAGGAGGGUGUCAGGCUUUCUUGUCUGGCUCCUCUUUCAUUAUACAUACCAAUCUUCUCUUGUUGUCUAACUUUUUGAGUAUAAAAACUCGAAUA